RNAcentral lists this long non-coding RNA (318 nucleotides) under Elaeis guineensis (African oil palm). RNAcentral's name for it is "long non-coding RNA (EGUI_LNC008816)". Lineage: Eukaryota; Viridiplantae; Streptophyta; Magnoliopsida; Arecales; Arecaceae. The record is from RNAcentral.
UAGGCACUCGGUGUGUGUGAACUAUCAAGAUAAAUAAGAUUUUUAGGGGCCAGUUUGGAUGGUUGAGCUCAAAAUCUUAUAGGAUUCAUGAGUUAGACCAGUGUAACCAUAAGAAAAUAUUGAAUUAGAGGCUGGACUAUGCCUAUGUCUAUAGCCAUCCACAGCUAUCAGCCCACUCCAAAAACUCCAUAUAUUGAGAAUAUUAACCUAACCCAGACUACUUUUUUCUAGUUGCACUAAUCCAAAGUCAUGAAUCUCAUAAAAUUUUGGGUUUAGACAUCCAAAUAAGCCCUAGAAGGCCUCAACUUAUCCAACCCA